AUUGAACGCUGGCGGCAUGCCUUACACAUGCAAGUCGAACGGCAGCACGGGUGCUUGCACCUGGUGGCGAGUGGCGAACGGGUGAGUAAUACAUCGGAACAUGUCCUGUAGUGGGGGAUAGCCCGGCGAAAGCCGGAUUAAUACCGCAUACGAUCUACGGAUGAAAGCGGGGGACCUUCGGGCCUCGCGCUAUAGGGUUGGCCGAUGGCUGAUUAGCUAGUUGGUGGGGUAAAGGCCUACCAAGGCGACGAUCAGUAGCUGGUCUGAGAGGACGACCAGCAACAGGGGGCGGGAGACACGCCCGAGCCUCCGGCGGAGAGAGACGGUGGAGAUUUUUGACGAAGGGGCGAAUGCCGAAACAACCAACGCGGGGUGUGUAAAGAGGGCUUUCGGUUUAAAAAGCUUUUUAGCCCAAAAAAAUACCUUUGCCCCUAAUGCGGGGGGGGAAGGAGGAAACCGGAAAAAUAGCCCCGGGCAAAGUACUUG
RNAcentral lists this ribosomal RNA (486 nucleotides) under uncultured bacterium. RNAcentral's name for it is "partial 16S ribosomal RNA". It matches the Rfam family "Bacterial small subunit ribosomal RNA", at positions 29 to 507 of the family's 1533-position model. The record is from RNAcentral.